UAUCAGCAACCAGGAAUUCCCAGAAG
Molecule: non-coding RNA, 26 nt
Filed under: Rattus norvegicus (Norway rat)
Lineage: Eukaryota; Metazoa; Chordata; Mammalia; Rodentia; Muridae
Source: RNAcentral